GACGAACGCUGGCGGCAUGCCUAACACAUGCAAGUCGAACGAGACCUUCGGGUCUAGUGGCGCACGUGUGCGUACCGCGUGGGAACCUGCCUUUAGGUUCGGUAUCCCUCAGUGAAAUUUGAGCUAAUACCGGUUGAUGUCUUCGGACCAAAGAUUUAUCGCGUUUUGAUGGGGCCGCGUUGGAUUCGCCAGUUGGUGGGGUAAUGGCCUGCCAACGCGUCGAUCCAUAGCUGGUCUGUGAGGAGGAUCAGCCACAAUGGGCCUGAGACACGGCCUAGUCUCCUACGGAAGGGAGCAGUAGGGAAUAUUGGACGAGGGGCGAAAGCCUGAUACAGCAAUGCGGGGUGAGUGAGGAAGGGCUUAGGGUUGUAAAGCUCUUUGACCCGAGAUGAUAAUGACAGUAUCGGGAGAAUAAGCUCCGGCUAACUCCGUG
RNAcentral lists this ribosomal RNA (433 nucleotides) under uncultured bacterium. Its description in RNAcentral is "partial 16S ribosomal RNA". It matches the Rfam family "Bacterial small subunit ribosomal RNA", at positions 28 to 507 of the family's 1533-position model. The record is from RNAcentral.